AUGUCCAGCCUCCAGGGCUAAUAAGAGCACAUUGUCCUUGGUGGCAGGAGGGAGCACCUUGCCUUAUCUAUGCAUUCCCUGGCAAGCAGCAGUGGUGGAGAAAGAGACAUGUCUCACUGCCCAGGUAUGACUCAUUGCACAGCCAAAGGUUAUAAUGAAGUAUCCCACUCAUCCUUUAGCUCACCCUUUGUUCAAGACAAUGCAGAUUGCAGAAGGUUUCUGAGGAGGAGUAUCAGGGAUAAACUGCUGGGAAGAAGGAAGAAGGAGCACAGUUCUAUUGGAAAGAAUGUCUUGAUGCUGAUUAUGAAAAUUACAUGGAAGUCAUAGGCUGAAUUAAAUAUUUCUCUAUGGUGGAAAAUUGAUGGGAAAGCUUCCUGGUAUCAACAGCUCAUAUGAAACAGAAGAAGAGAUCCUUUUAUCAC
RNAcentral lists this long non-coding RNA (422 nucleotides) under Chloebia gouldiae (Gouldian finch). Its description in RNAcentral is "Erythrura gouldiae (Gouldian finch) lncRNA (ENSEGOG00005005594.1)". Lineage: Eukaryota; Metazoa; Chordata; Aves; Passeriformes; Passeridae. The record is from RNAcentral.